GUAAGUGUAGUUUAACUAAAAAUUUUAGGUCGUGACCCUAAAGAUAAAGGUUAGAGCCCUUUCACUCACC
RNAcentral lists this transfer RNA (70 nucleotides) under Lepidocephalichthys annandalei. RNAcentral's name for it is "tRNA-His". It matches the Rfam family "tRNA". Rfam says of the family: Transfer RNA (tRNA) molecules are approximately 80 nucleotides in length. Their secondary structure includes four short double-helical elements and three loops (D, anti-codon, and T loops). The record is from RNAcentral. Lineage: Eukaryota; Metazoa; Chordata; Actinopteri; Cypriniformes; Cobitidae.